Molecule: small nucleolar RNA, 120 nt
Organism: Heterocephalus glaber (naked mole-rat)
Lineage: Eukaryota; Metazoa; Chordata; Mammalia; Rodentia; Bathyergidae
Source: Ensembl
AGCACUUGUGUAUGUUACUGUUUAGCUUCCAGACAUACAGAAAGGCAAAAAACAAACCCCCUUUUACAAGCCAGACCUCACUGUUCAGUAUGAGUUUUGAUAUAUAUAAAAAGGAAUGUU